This 1409-nucleotide long non-coding RNA is filed under the name Rattus norvegicus (Norway rat). RNAcentral's name for it is "long non-coding RNA NONRATT000745". The record is from RNAcentral. Lineage: Eukaryota; Metazoa; Chordata; Mammalia; Rodentia; Muridae.
AAAGUUAUGAGAAGUGUUGAGAAGAGAAGUCUGGCUGUGCUAGCAGAAGAGUGGGAUCUGAUCCCUAUCUAGGAAAGAGACCUCUAGUGACUUUACAGCAGCCAUUUGAGCCAGUAAGUGAGGCUGCAGAGGGAUUCCACCAGGACCUCUGAUGGGAGGUGGCUGUUACCCAUGCCCAGAGCUCUUAAGAACAGAAAAAUUUAACUUCUCACCAAUUCAGUAAACCAUUCAUUUUCUCAAUAGUACUGUCUUUCCAAAACGAAAUGCUUCGCAGAGGGCUCAUGGUGUUGACGCCUUGAGGACAGCCCUUUUAUUAGUCAUUUCCAGAUAUGUCUGUGACAACUCGAUAGCCCUCCUCGAUCAGUCCCAGCAGAGAAACGACUCACCAGAGUGGAAUUACCUUUAAAAUGAAAGUCACUCCUGCUCACCAGUCCCAGGACUGUUAAGGGGUUGUGCUGUCAAUGCCAUGACCCACUCACUGCCCCUGAAUCUCAGAUGAACUAAAAUGUAUAUCAUAAUAAUGUUCCCAUUAGGCUUUAAGUGACAUGUCCAUCUGCAGUAUUGUGUGUUUGAUGCCAACAUGAGGACAUCUUCAGUUGUUCCCAUGAAAAGUAGUUCUCUUCUUUUGAAACAUGGAGUUGACAAUUUCACCAAUGAGAUGAUCUCAGAAGGGGACAGGCACAUUGUAGCUGUAGGUGUGUGAACCGGGUAAACACAUUCUGAAAAGAUGUGUCCACUGUUGAAUCUCCUUGAUUAAAAGCAUAAGCCUACUAUAACUCAUAUUUUAACCCUCCACCUAAAAAGAUGAGUUCAUAUUUCCAGCCAUUUUCUGUAAGCCAACUGAACCAAUGGUAAAAUAUUUUGUUACUUUUGGAAUGAACUCUGGCUUUCAUGUCAGUGUGAACUUUCCAUCAGAGUAACAUUGACUCUUUGGGCAAAGAACUGCCCUGGUGGAGUAAAUUUCCCUGGACACUGGCGAGUGUGCCUUGGACUGAUUACCUCUUCUACUGCAUUGAAAGGUGCCAUGUUUUCCUGAAUGACUAAAUCCCCCUCAACUUGUAAGUGACCUCCCAGAGUGGCUCACGAACCAUACCUCUCCUAGGGAUGGCCCACAAACAUGUCAUUCGUGACUCAUUUUUCUACUUCCCAAGUCAGUAGAUGUGUUCAAGGUAAGUACAGGAUUGUUCUCGUAGGAAUAGGCGGUUGCUGUCCUGAUUGAUAUCCCCGUCGAUUUCAUUUCAUUGUAAAGAUAAACUUAAACCCGGUUUUGCUUAAGCACAUUGAUGUAAUUUUUUGGUAUUAUUUGACAUGAAAAAAACAGCAAAAUUGAGUGACAGAUACAAUAUGAAACUUGUUGAAUGAAUUCAAAUUUAUUAAAAAAGGACUAACUGAUAAAUGUGAAGACUGAU